RNAcentral lists this long non-coding RNA (5026 nucleotides) under Sus scrofa (pig). Its description in RNAcentral is "lncRNA (ENSSSCG00065029731.1)". The record is from RNAcentral. Lineage: Eukaryota; Metazoa; Chordata; Mammalia; Artiodactyla; Suidae.
CCUCUCGCUGCUGCAUUUGUGCUCAGGAGAAAUAAAACCCAGGCGCACGCGCGCGCGCACACACACACACACACACACAUCCGAUAUAGCAUCAUGCCUGCCGCGCUUCCCCGUCAUCCACGAGGUCCAAGUUUCUACCUGGCAUCCCAGGCCCACCCCGAGCGGGUCCAGCCUGCUUCCCAACCUCAUCGCUCACUCUUGGACACCGUGCAACGCGGCGAGAAUCUCCCCCCGCCUUUCUCCGAGUCGGGCCCUCAGCCCUAGACCUGGCCUUCUGGAGUGUGCGUGCCCAAAGCCCCAGCCCUGCAGACUCAGAGCCUCUCCACAAGCCCUGGAGGCAACUUUUAGGUGCUCGGAGCUGCGGGCUGCUCCUCUGAAGUCUCCCCACUCGGUGCCUCGGUCUCACCCGCGGGCACCUCCUCCGUCUCUGUUCAGACAGCAGCCUCUCCUUCUCAAGCCCAGGAAACCGCUUCCCUCUCUGCCUCCCCUUAGCGCUUGCUGCAGACUUGUCAUAACACAGCUCUGUCUGCAGAUGCUCCGUCUCUGCGGCUGGAUUACAAACUCCUCGCGAUGAGGAAGCUCCGUCCCCUCGAGUAACUGCACCUUCUCUCUGUUUCCACGACGGAAACCCGUCGCUGGCCGCGUCCCCCGCUCCCCGUGGCCGCUGAGCGCGCUUGGCGUCAGACUCACAGCUCAAGUGUCACCAUUACCAAGGCUGUCCUUGGCCAUGGAUCCAGGCGCUUUUUCCCCCUGGAUGUGACCUAUUUUAAUUUCUAUUGGCUUUGCCCAGUUUAAAAACCCAUAUGUGGCCAUUUAUUUUAUAUGUUUCUGCUGCCAGCUGCCUCAGAUCCUUUCUGGAAGAAGGUGAGGGAGCUAAAUUAUUCAUCUCAGGCUUCUCACCACCCAGGACAGCGUCUGACAGGUAGAAAAUGCUCCAUAACUGUUGGUUAAAUUUAAUCAAAGGCAUAAAGUUAUGUGGGGUCCGUGACAGCGAUUUGACUCCUCGCUUGGAGGACUUUUUUGCUCACUCCUGGUUUUAUCACGGAGCUCCAGCGCUGACACUGCUGGAGGAGGGCCUGAGGGACACGUGCCUGUUGCUGCACAAAAUCCACUUGAUCUCGGCCACCCAAUUCGAUCAAUUUUCUACCUUGAUCUGGGCGCGCCCUGUUUUGGGAACUUGGGCUGCCCAUCAACACUGUAAUCUGGGAUUCAUCUUUUUGUUUGUCUGUUUGUUUGUUUGUUUGUUUAGGGCCACACCCAUGGCAUAUGGAGGUUCCCAGGCUCAGGGUCGAAUCAGAGCUGUGGCUGCCGGCCUACACCACAGCCACAGCAACGCCAGAUCUGAGCCAUGGUCUGCAACCUACACCACAGCUCACGCAACGCCGGAUCCUGAACCCACUGAGCAAGGCCGAGGAUCGAACCCGACACCUCGUGGUUCCUAGUCGGUUUCGUUUUCACUGCGCCAUGACGGGCACUCUCUGUGAUUAAUCUUAAAAGAUGGUGAACAGGGAGAAAUGUGCCGAGAUUGGGAAGGAAGCCGUCUCAGGGAAGGGGAGGGAAAGGGUUCAGAUGAGAGGGCACAGCAUGGAGCCCAGACUGAGGACAGGGUGCUGAGAUGAGGACACGAGCGGAGUAAACAGCACGUGUAGGAGCCACCGGGAGAAGAAGGAUUCUUGUGUCCUGGGAGUUCCCGCUGUGGUGCACCAGGUUAAGGACCCAGUGUUGUCUGGGUGGUGGAGAGGGUUUAACUUCCAGCUGGCGCAAUGGGUUAAGGGUCUGGCGUUGUGGCCGCUGUGGCGCACCCAUGUGCCAUGGGUGGGGGAAAAAAAAAUCCUUGUGUCCUGAAGACACACCCCUGUCAUAUCUCCAAGUCCUGCUGGAAAGAUGAGCAUGCUCAAGCAGCGUUGAAAACGUCAACUUCAGAUAAUAAAACUUUGAAGAGAUAUGGAGAAAAUCCUUGAGAAAGGAAAAAAAUGUCACUUUUUAUACUCAUUUUUUUUUUUAAAAAAUUACAUCUAAUAUUUCCUUAAGAAAAGCCAUCUUUUCCAUCGUGGCGCAUCAUGUCUGAGGAAAUGACAGCAGCACCCUAGUCUAUAUAAAUUGGAGAUUUUCUUCCCGAGGAAACACAUGAACAUGUGUAGUCUUGACUUUCUGUUGUCACCUCAACUAUCUAAACAAGCCCCUCAUGCUUUCGGUUAGUUAUUUUCAAAGCAUCAUUCAAUUGGAAUUUUUUUCCUUUGAAGAAAAAUAAAGGGACGCUAACCUAUCAACUGUUACACAGCCGCUGCCGCCGUAUAAAACCACAAGUCUCAUUUAAAUUUGCUUCCAACGUCUUUGUUUCAAUCAAAAAUAUCAAUUCAAUGUGUUGUCUCCAUGAAAACCUAGAGAAUCUGGGAUGAUUCUUUGAACAAGAUAAAAGAAAGGUGUUGCUAUUAAAUAGAAUAAAAAUGGAAAGUUUGUCAAAACGAAUUUGCUUACAUUGCUACUGUGCGCCAUGAGAGAUGACAGAAAUCCUGGUGGAUUAUAACAAAAUACGGCUCUUGCCCCAAAAACGAAAUUAACGGAGGAACCAGGAGUUACCCUUUGGGCUCUCUGGUUGGUGUGUGUUGUCCCAGGCGGCGACCUGUCAGCACUGGCUCGAAGUUUGCUCUCAGCCUCAGAGGAUUAUGGGUCCAGGGCGGGGCUGUCGCCCAGUGGACCUGGUUAACCUGGGGUCUGAGGUCGGCUGGCAGGGGAUAUUAGAUUAGGAUCAGAGUCAAGCGUGUGUGCCAGUCCCUCAAGAGCAAAGGUGCCUUCUGCUCAGCUGCCGCCGAGUUGAAACUCAGGCAGGUUUCUACUUUGUCAUCCGCAGCUUCAGCCAAUGGCACCCAUCCCCUCAUUAUUAAUUUUUUUCUUUUUAGGGUCGCACCUGCGGCCUACGGAGGUUCCCAGGCUAGGAGUCCAAUUGGAGCCGCAGCGGCCGGCCUACACCACAGCCAAAGCAACACCAGAUCCUUAACCCACUGAGUGAGGCCAGGGAUCGAACCUACAUCCUCACGGAUACCAAUCGGGUUCUUAAACCUCUCUAUUCACCUUUUUCCAUCCUGGAGUUGUGAUGGGAUCCUGACCCUCCUUCUCAUUUCAAAGUCACUGCAGAUUAAAAUGUCCUGAAAAGAUUAGGAGGGGAUGUGACCUGGCAGAAUGCAGCCUGCAUCUCAGCCUCAGUAAGGGCGGGGCCUCCCUAAGGCAGAUGAAGACGUGCGGUUACAAGAUCAGGGCUUUUGCUGCUGCUGAGAUAAAGCACGUGUUGGAGGAAGAAGCCUCUCUGGACUGACAGAGCAGAGCUCACCAAGACCGGAGCUCCUCACACCCAGGGCCGGGACCCCCAGCCUCCCCCGGGCCCCUCCACCUCCCUCUCCUGGUAGCAGGCAAGGCUCCAGACGCCUUGUUUGCCUAAGCGAUUGUUACUUUGAAUCAAGACUGUGGCCUCUUCUCCCCAGGUGCACUCUCGAUGGGGAGGUCGGGCAUCACUGUCAGUCUGAAGAUGAGCCAAGGGAAAUCAGGAGGGCGAAGCUCAUCGAGAGAGUCCCCACUGCAGCCACACUUGGCAUCUUAUCUCAGCAUCACAGGUGCACCGCGAGCUUCCCUGAGGGCCCUGCUUGAACGCUUUCCAACGUCUCGAGCACAGGCACAACCCAGGAGUGUGCCAGCCUCUUUCCCAGCUCUGAAAUUAGAUGUAGUCGCUUGCCCAGAUGUUUAUUUUAGAGGUGGUUUUGUAGGGAGCCUUUCUGCUAAAAUAGGCUUUAUCCUCGCAAUUAUUUUCACUCUGGGGACCCUUCUUUGCUUUUGGAUGAUAGUGUUUGUUCUCUAAUCUUAAGCAUCCUAGACUUUAAUAAAAUCAUGGUACCUAUAAUAAAUUACACAAAGAAAUGACACUUCUGGAGUUCCCGUCGUGGCUCAGAGGGAAUGAACCCAACUGGAAAAGGAGACAGGAAGGAAAGAACAGAAAAGGGGGGAAAAAAGAAGAAGAAAGGAAAAGAAAACAUUUUGGGGCUUUCCUGUCUUGGCGCAGAGGAAACACAUCCAACUGGGAACCAUGGGGUUGCCAGUUUGAUCCCUGGCCUCGCUCAGUGGGUUAAGGAUCCGGCAUUGCUGUGAGCUGUGCUGUAGGUUGCAGGCUUGGCUCGGAUCUGGCGUUGCUACGGCUUGGCAUAGGCCAGCAGCUGCAGCUCCUAUUAGACCCCUGGCCUGGGACCCUCCAUGUGCUGUGGUUGCAGCCCUCAAAAGACAAAAAGAAAAAAGAUUUUGACCAUUACAUCAUACAAUAUAAAAAAUUAACUUGAGGUGUUCCCUUGUGGCUCAGUGGGUUAAGGAUCUGGAAUUGUUUCUGCUGUGGCUCUGGUUACAGCUGUGGCAAGGAUUUGAUCCCUGGACCAGGAACUUCUGCAUGCCAUGGGCACAGUCAAAAAAAAAUUAACUUGAAAUGGAUAUUAAACCUACAUGUAAGAAGCAAGCUAUAGAAAUUCCAUUAAAAAACAUAGAAUGAAAUCUGAAUGACCUUGGGUUUGGAAGAUAUUUCUUAAAUGUUACUCAAAAAGCACAAAAUAUAACAGGAAAAAAAAUCAAUGAAUUGGACUUCAUCCAUAUCAAAAAUGUGUGCUCUUCAAAAGGUAUUAUUGGAGUUCCCUGGUGGCCCAGCAGUUAAGGAUCUGGUGUUGUCACUGCUGUGGCUUGGGUUUGAUCCCUGGCCUGGAAGCUUCUGCAUGCCAUGGGCUCAGCCAAAAAAAAGAAAGAUAUUAAGAAAAUGAGGGAGGUCUCAUUACGGCUCUGCUCAGUGGGUUAAGAUCCCAGCAGAGUGUCCAUAAGGAUUUGGGUUUGAUCCGUGGCCAUGAUCAGUGGGUUAAGGAUCUGGCAUUGUCACAGGCUGUGGCAUCAGUGGCAGAUGUGGCUUGGAUCCCGUGUUGCUGUGGCUAUGGUGUAGGCCUCAGGUGCAGCUCCAAUUUGACCCCCAGCCUGGGUCCAUAUGCCGCAGGUGGGACCCUAAAAA